Molecule: ribosomal RNA, 403 nt
Filed under: bacterium
Lineage: Bacteria
Description: partial 16S ribosomal RNA
Rfam family: Bacterial small subunit ribosomal RNA
Source: RNAcentral
UGGGGAAUAUUGCACAAUGGAGGGAACUCUGAUGCAGCGACGCCGCGUGAACGAAGAAGGCUUUCGAGUCGUAAAGUUCUUUUAUAUGGGAAGAUAAUGACGGUACCAUAAGAAAAAGCCCCGGCUAACUACGUGCCAGCUGCCGCGGUAAUACGUAGGGGGCUAGCGUUGUCCGGAAUCACUGGGCGUAAAGGGUUCGCAGGCGGAAAUGCAAGUCAGGUGUAAAAGGCAGUAGCUUAACUACUGUAAGCAUUUGAAACUGCAUAUCUUGAGAAGAGUAGAGGUAAGUGGAAUUUUUAGUGUAGCGAUGAAAUGCGUAGAUAUUAAAAAGAAUACCGGUGGCGAAGGCGACUUACUGGGCUCAUUCUGACGCUGAGGAACGAAAGCGUGGGUAGCAAACAGG